CCUACGGGGGGCAGCAGUGGGGGAUAUUGCACAAUGGGGGGAACCCUGAUGCAGCGACGCCGCGUGGGUGAAGGAGCGUUUCGGCGCGUAAAGCCCUAUCGGCAGGGAAGAAGAUGACGGUACCUGGCCAAGAAGCCCCGGCGAACUACGUGCCAGCAGCCGCGGGAAUACGUCGGGGGCAAGCGUUAUCCGGAUUUACUGGGUGUAAAGGGGGCGCAGACGGCAAUGCAAGCCAGGGGGGAAAGCCCGGGGCCCACCCCCGGGACUGCUCUUGGAACUGCAUGGCUGGAGUACAGGAGGGGCAGGCGGAAUUCCUAGUGGAGCGGUGAAAUGCGUAGAUAUUAGGAGGAACACCGGUGGUGAAGGCGGCCUGCUGGACUGUGACUGACGUUGAGGCCCGCAGGCGUGGGGAGCAAACAGGAUUAGAUACCCCUGUAGUC
RNAcentral lists this ribosomal RNA (440 nucleotides) under uncultured bacterium. RNAcentral's name for it is "partial 16S ribosomal RNA". It matches the Rfam family "Bacterial small subunit ribosomal RNA", at positions 338 to 795 of the family's 1533-position model. The record is from RNAcentral.